CUUCUUAAAAAAAAAAAAAACCUUCUACGACGAAGAAAAGAAAAAAAAAAAGCAAGUCAUCACCAGAGCAGCGACCACCACCAUGGCAUCGGUUCCCGGCGACGUUCUCACAGCAUGAUCCCUACCAUCACGUAUGGCGCCCAGACUUCUUACCAAUUGUAUUUUCCUACCUUCAAUUGUGAGAGAAUUGGUUCCUUAGCAAGCAAGUAUGGAGGACAACAUCACGGUUUCUUUUCCUACAAUUCAAUCUUUGUCGAUUAUGCUCUCAAACUCACAGGGAAGAAUUCCUAAUGAAGGGAGGGUAUCAUCUACACGAAUGCUUACUGAUGACCGUUACAUUGUUGAUCAUUUAUCGGAUGUGACUUCUCCAACUCCCUUACCUCAUUCACGUUAUGCCUCCUUCGGUGAUAUUAAUUAAUUAAUUACACCUGUAUGGGGACAUAUGGAAAACAGACCGAUUAAAUGUGAAAGGGCGAUAUGUUAACCGGGUACAGAUCCUCAGCAACUACUAGACAUUUCGGCAUUUAUGCAAAAAGAAGACAUUUCGGCUUGUUAGCGAUUGGCACGUGGCGACAACAAUUUGACACUUGGCGCAAGAUAGAUUGCAUGUUAUGCAGCCACUUAUCAUUUGGAAGGGCUAUAAAUAAUCAGAUUUUGAUCUCGUAAUAAAGGUUCUCAUCUUGACGAUAGGAGCUUAACGGGUUUCAGGCUCGGGCUUUGGAUCUUGGAGUUGGGUUGUCGGAUCCUGAUAUGAACAAUUUGGCGCUAGAAGGAGGGGAAAGCUAAGUAAUUUCUUCUAUCGCCUAAGAACCUCACACAGACACACACACACACACACAAAGGUUAAAAAUCAAAGCACUCCAGUAAUCACACUACUACAAAAUGCGUGUUUUUUGGACGCUUUUUAAGCCUUUUUUCGACGCUAAAAAGCGUCGAAAAAUAAUUUCUCGACGCUGCAAAAAAGCGUCGAAAAUCCAAGAGUCGAAAAUUUUUCGGAGACACAAAAAAGCGUCGAGAAUCUCGAUGCUUUUUAUUGUCCAAACUAAUAUACGAAGCGUCCAAAAUGAUGUAUUUCGCGCAUUAUCCCAAAUGUAUGUAGUUUUUUAGCGACGCUUUUUCCUGUCCACAUAAUCAAAUUUUGCGACGCUUUUUGUUGUCUUGCGUUUAUUCGUGCCAGCCUAUGGUAUGGCGGGAAAGUCUAUGAAAUUUGAAAAUGUGCAAUUAUGUAGACAUUAAAAAGCGUCUAGAUUUAUUUUUUAAGCUUUUUUUUUUUCUUUUAU
Chenopodium quinoa (quinoa) is the source of this 1280-nucleotide long non-coding RNA. RefSeq lists it as uncharacterized. The transcript is spliced from 3 exons. NCBI's taxonomy places the organism in Eukaryota, Viridiplantae, Streptophyta, Magnoliopsida, Caryophyllales, Amaranthaceae. The record is from RefSeq and is a predicted model, not a curated record.